RNAcentral lists this ribosomal RNA (539 nucleotides) under Streptomyces sp. LK2324.4. RNAcentral describes it as "bacterial SSU rRNA". It matches the Rfam family "Bacterial small subunit ribosomal RNA", at positions 75 to 629 of the family's 1533-position model. The record is from RNAcentral. Lineage: Bacteria; Bacillati; Actinomycetota; Actinomycetes; Kitasatosporales; Streptomycetaceae.
ACCCGUAGGGGUGNNNUNUAUAGAGAAAGAGUGAGUCACACGUGGGCAAUCUGCCCUUCACUCUGGGACAAGCCCUGGAAACGGGGUCUAAUACCGGAUACCACUCCUGCCUGCAUGGGCGGGGGUUGAAAGCUCCGGCGGUGAAGGAUGAGCCCGCGGCCUAUCAGCUUGUUGGUGGGGUAAUGGCCCACCAAGGCGACGACGGGUAGCCGGCCUGAGAGGGCGACCGGCCACACUGGGACUGAGACACGGCCCAGACUCCUACGGGAGGCAGCAGUGGGGAAUAUUGCACAAUGGGCGAAAGCCUGAUGCAGCGACGCCGCGUGAGGGAUGACGGCCUUCGGGUUGUAAACCUCUUUCAGCAGGGAAGAAGCGAAAGUGACGGUACCUGCAGAAGAAGCGCCGGCUAACUACGUGCCAGCAGCCGCGGUAAUACGUAGGGCGCAAGCGUUGUCCGGAAUUAUUGGGCGUAAAGAGCUCGUAGGCGGCUUGUCACGUCGGAUGUGAAAGCCCGAGGCUUAACCUCGGGUCUGCAUUCG